AUUAUUUUAUUUAUUUAUUAUUAAAAAUAAUUAUAUAAUUUAAUUGUUUUAGUAGAUUUUAUUGAAUAAAUUUUAUUAAUUAUAGUUAAUUAGUACUGUGAAGGAUUAUUGAAAUAAAUUGAAAAAUUUUUAUAAUUAAAGAAAAUUUAUUUUAUUGUACCUUGUGUAUCAGGGUAGAUUAAAUAAUUAAUAAUUAUAUAUUAAUCUCGAUUUUAUAAGAGUUAAUUGUAUUUUUAAGUUAAUGUGUCAAAAUUAUUUAUAAAAUAUAAUUAGAAAUGAAAUGUUAUUCGUUUAUAAUGGUAUCUAGUUUUUUUAGAAAUGAAUUUAAUUCAUUAAUUUUUAAUUUUUUAUUUAAUUAUUUAAUAUAAAGAUUUAUUAAUUAAAAUAUUUUAGGGGAUAAGCUUUAAAAUAAAGUUUUAUAAAUUUUAUUUAUUAUUAAUAAUGUAUGUAUAGAAUUUGCAAUCAUUUAUAAGUUUGUUAUAAAUUAUUUUAUAAAUUUAAUAUUUAAUUUAUUUUAAUUUUAUAUAAAAUUUUUCAUUUAAACUAUAAAAAUGAAUUAAUAAUGAUUUAAUUAGUAUAUUAUGAUGUAUAUAUAAAUAUUAAUGGUUAGGUUUAUAUAAAGAACUCGGCAAAUAAAAAUGUUCGCCUGUUUAACAAAAACAUGUCUUUUUGUGGUAAAUUUAAAGUCUGACCUGCCCAAUGAAAUUUUAAUGGCCGCAGUAUUCUAACUGUGCAAAGGUAGCAUAAUCAUUAGUCUUUUAAUUGAAGGCUGGAAUGAAUGGUUGGACGAAAUAUAAUCUGUUUCAUAUAAAUUUAAAUAAAAUUUUAUUUUUUAGUUAAAAAGCUAAAAUGUUAUUGAAAGACGAGAAGACCCUAUAAAUCUUUAUAAAAUAAUUAAUUUUAAUUUUUUAGAUGAUUUUUGUUAUAAUUUAUUAUUUUAUUUUAUUGGGGUGAUAUUAAAAUUUAAAAAACUUUUAAUUUUUUAAAUCAUUAAUGUAUGAUUAAUUGAUCUUUUAUUAAGGAUUAUAAGAUUAAGUUACUUUAGGGAUAACAGCGUAAUUUUUCUGGAGAGUUCAUAUCGAUAGAAGGGAUUGCGACCUCGAUGUUGGAUUAAGAUAAAUAUUUAGGUGUAGCUGCUUAAAUUUAAAGUCUGUUCGACUUUUAAAUUCUUACAUGAUCUGAGUUCAGACCGGCGUAAGCCAGGUUGGUUUCUAUCUUUAGUAAAUUAUAAUAUUUUAGUACGAAAGGACCAAAUAUUAAAAUAAUUAUAUUUUAUUAUAUGAAUAU
This 1287-nucleotide ribosomal RNA is filed under the name Rivellia syngenesiae. RNAcentral describes it as "16S ribosomal RNA". The stretch from base 1047 to 1206 matches the Rfam family "Archaeal large subunit ribosomal RNA", at positions 2542 to 2701 of the family's 2987-position model. The record is from RNAcentral. Lineage: Eukaryota; Metazoa; Arthropoda; Insecta; Diptera; Platystomatidae.